Molecule: ribosomal RNA, 264 nt
Filed under: uncultured bacterium
Lineage: Bacteria
Description: partial 16S ribosomal RNA
Rfam family: Bacterial small subunit ribosomal RNA
Source: RNAcentral
ACGUGCCUACGGGGGGCAGCAGUGGGGAAUAUUGGGCAAUGGGCGCAAGCCUGACCCAGCAAAGCCGCGUGAAGGAAGAAGGCAUUCGGGUUGUAAAAUUCUUUUAAGAGGGAAGAGCAGAAGACGGUACCUCUUGAAUAAGCCACGGCUAACUACGUGCCAGCAGCCGCGGUAAUACGUAGGUGGCAAGCGUUGUCCGGAUUUACUGGGUGUAAAGGGCGUGUAGCCGGGCUGACAAGUCGGAUGUGAAAUUCCGGGGCUCAA